GGCUGAGUCAGCAGGGAGGGAUAAAGGCGGCGGGGCCGGCGGCGGGUGGGCGGCCAUGGAGCUGCCGGGGCUGGGGCGGCACUGCGCGGAGACAGCCUGCAGGAGGCUGGACUUCCUUCCUCUGAAAUGUGAUGCGUGUGGGGAGGUCUUCUGCAAAGACCAUAUCCGUUAUGAUGACCACAAGUGUGGCUCUGCCUACAAAAAAAAUGUGCAGGUUCCAGUGUGUCCACUCUGUAAUGCACCCAUCCCAGUACAGAAGGGGGAAAUACCAGAUGUUGUGGUUGGAGCCCACAUGGAUAAGGACUGCAAAUACAAUCCAGCACAGCAAAAGGAGAAGAUCUUCACAAACAAAUGCUUAAAGCCAGGCUGCAAAAGAAAAGAGAUGAUGAAGGUAGUUUGUGAACAGUGCAAUGGGAACUUCUGCAUAAAGCAUCGGCAUCCUCUGGACCAUGACUGUAAAGGGAGCAGCCACCCCAUCUCCAAGGCUGGGCAGACAUACCUUCCUUGCUCUGUGCAGUAGGAAUGUACGCAGCUCUGAUGAGAGCAUCUCAAACUGCCUUCAAGUCAACAGAAGCAAUUGCAGUGCCAUCUAAUGGGAACCGUCAGCACAACAGAUGCAGAUGAUAGAAGCUCUUCACACUGGAUCAAGCAUCUGCCUACUUCAGUUAAUCUUGUCUGAAGCUCUUUAAACUUUUUCUAUGCAAGUAACUUAUUUUUGUGUAUAAUCUCUUACGGAUUUAAUAAACUGUCACCCUUUCUAAGCCAA
This is an RNA transcript of Anas platyrhynchos (mallard), 766 nucleotides long. It is a transcript of the gene named zinc finger AN1-type containing 2A, with no coding region annotated. Lineage: Eukaryota; Metazoa; Chordata; Aves; Anseriformes; Anatidae. The record is from RefSeq and is a predicted model, not a curated record.